GUUGUGAGGUUAAGCGACCAAGCGUACACGGUGGAUGCCCUGGCAGUCAGAGGCGAUGAAGGACGUGCUAAUCUGCGAAAAGCGCCGGUAAGGUGAUAUGAACCGUUAUAACCGGCGAUGUCCGAAUGGGGAAACCCAGUGUGACUCGUCACACUAUCAUUAACUGAAUCCAUAGGUUAAUGAGGCGAACCGGGGGAACUGAAACAUCUAAGUACCCCGAGGAAAAGAAAUCAACCGAGAUUCCCCCAGUAGCGGCGAGCGAACGGGGAGGAGCCCAGAGCCUGAAUCAGCAUAUGUGUUAGUGGAAGCGUCUGGAAAGGCGCGCGAUACAGGGUGACAGCCCCGUACACAAAAGUGCAUAUGCUGUGAGCUCGAUGAGUAGGGCGGGACACGUGGUAUCCUGUCUGAAUAUGGGGGGACCAUCCUCCAAGGCUAAAUACUCCUGACUGACCGAUAGUGAACCAGUACCGUGAGGGAAAGGCGAAAAGAACCCCGGCGAGGGGAGUGAAACAGAACCUGAAACCGUGUACGUACAAGCAGUGGGAGCAUGAGUUUACUCAUGUGACUGCGUACCUUUUGUAUAAUGGGUCAGCGACUUAUAUUCUGUAGCAAGGUUAACCGUAUAGGGGAGCCGCAGGGAAACCGAGUCUUAACCGGGCGUUAAGUUGCAGGGUAUAGACCCGAAACCCGGUGAUCUAGCCAUGGGCAGGUUGAAGGUUGGGUAACACUAACUGGAGGACCGAACCGACUAAUGUUGAAAAAUUAGCGGAUGACCUGUGGCUGGGGGUGAAAGGCCAAUCAAACCGGGAGAUAGCUGGUUCUCCCCGAAAGCUAUUUAGGUAGCGCCUCGUGAA
This 854-nucleotide ribosomal RNA is filed under the name Salmonella enterica. RNAcentral describes it as "partial 23S ribosomal RNA". It matches the Rfam family "Bacterial large subunit ribosomal RNA", at positions 1 to 888 of the family's 2925-position model. The record is from RNAcentral. Lineage: Bacteria; Pseudomonadati; Pseudomonadota; Gammaproteobacteria; Enterobacterales; Enterobacteriaceae.